UGUAAGCGUAUACCAAAGUUGUUGCAGUUAAAACGCUCGUAGUCGGAACUUGGCAGUUCCGGAAGUGUGCACGUCGUGUGCGCACUUUGCAGGGACUGCUUUUGUGGUCUUGCGUAGGAUGAGGCACUUUUAUUAGUGAACGUCCUCACGCAACCACUCUUUACUGUGAGAAAAUCAGAGUGCUCAAAGCAGGCAUUUGCCGUGAAUGUAUUAGCAUGGAAUAAUAGAAUAGGACUCGGUUCUAUUUUGUUGGUUUGUUGGGACUGAGUAAUGAUUAAGAGGGACAGUUGGGGGCAUUUGUAUUUCGGUGCUAGAGGUGAAAUUCUUAGAUUACCGAAAGACAAACUGCUGCGAAAGCGUCUGCCAAGGAUGUUUUCAUUGA
This 382-nucleotide ribosomal RNA is filed under the name uncultured eukaryote. Its description in RNAcentral is "partial 18S ribosomal RNA". It matches the Rfam family "Eukaryotic small subunit ribosomal RNA", at positions 592 to 976 of the family's 1831-position model. The record is from RNAcentral.